GAACCUCAGGAUGGUGCUAAUGUUCUGAGCAAUACAGUUUCCAGGUUUUCCUGAAUUGUCUUGUUGGUUUUCUGGAUUCUAGUCCACGUUCAAAGCCCAGAGCAAGAGCCCUGAAUGGUGGCUCCAAGGGCAGAAAAUGUUUUCCACAGAGAAACAAUUGAAUCUAAGAGAGGAGGAGAUUUAUGUUUGCAGACCUGGAAAUACACCAUGAAAUGGAAGGGGGAAUAAAGGAGAGAUGGGACAUAACUAGAGUGCUUGCUUGGACAUGAGAGAAUCACCUAGGAGCAAUGUUUCCUUACAAUAGAGUGGUAUUAGAGAAAUGGGCUGUCCAUGUAUUCUGUUCUUUCAAGACUGAUCCAUGUGGUACCAUGAAAGUGCUAGCAGAUGUUUUGGGAAGAAAAUGUGUAGUUCACAUCUGCCUAUACACCAUCUUCUGUAACCUCACUUUGACGAAAUGGGGUUGGAUUGUGGACACUGUCGUCUCUCAUUUAACAGUGAGUAUAUGUUCGCAAAGAGGUAUUCUUUCCUACUAUGACUACAAAAUUUGGGUAAUUAAUAUGCACUGCGUACUGGGAUGUACUGAUGAACAGUGGGACCUCAUUCCUACAUUCAGAGUUUAA
RNAcentral lists this long non-coding RNA (620 nucleotides) under Vulpes vulpes (red fox). RNAcentral's name for it is "lncRNA (ENSVVUG00000009522.1)". Lineage: Eukaryota; Metazoa; Chordata; Mammalia; Carnivora; Canidae. The record is from RNAcentral.